UGCUACCAUGCAGUCGACGGUGAAGCCAAGCUUGCUUGGUGGAUCAGUGGCGAACGGGUGAGUAACACGUGAGCAACCUGCCCUGGACUCUGGGAUAAGCGCUGGAAACGGCGUCUAAUACUGGAUAUGAGACGUGAUCGCAUGGUCGUGUUUGGAAAGAUUUUUCGGUCUGGGAUGGGCUCGCGGCCUAUCAGCUUGUUGGUGAGGUAAUGGCUCACCAAGGCGUCGACGGGUAGCCGGCCUGAGAGGGUGACCGGCCACACUGGGACUGAGACACGGCCCAGACUCCUACGGGAGGCAGCAGUGGGGAAUAUUGCACAAUGGGCGAAAGCCUGAUGCAGCAACGCCGCGUGAGGGAUGACGGCCUUCGGGUUGUAAACCUCUUUUAGCAGGGAAGAAGCGAAAGUGACGGUACCUGCAGAAAAAGCGCCGGCUAACUACGUGCCAGCAGCCGCGGUAAUACGUAGGGCGCAAGCGUUAUCCGGAAUUAUUGGGCGUAAAGAGCUCGUAGGCGGUUUGUCGCGUCUGCUGUGAAAUCCCGAGGCUCAACCUCGGGCCUGCAGUG
Molecule: ribosomal RNA, 565 nt
Filed under: Microbacterium testaceum
Lineage: Bacteria; Bacillati; Actinomycetota; Actinomycetes; Micrococcales; Microbacteriaceae
Description: bacterial SSU rRNA
Rfam family: Bacterial small subunit ribosomal RNA
Source: RNAcentral